This 460-nucleotide ribosomal RNA is filed under the name uncultured bacterium. RNAcentral describes it as "partial 16S ribosomal RNA". It matches the Rfam family "Bacterial small subunit ribosomal RNA", at positions 338 to 795 of the family's 1533-position model. The record is from RNAcentral.
CCUACGGGUGACAGCAGUGAGGAAUAUUGGUCAAUGGACGAGAGUCUGAUCCAGCAACGUAGCGUGAAGGAUGAAUGCCUUCUGGGUUGUAAGCUUUUUUUAUAGAGACGUAAAACGAGGCUCGUGUCUCUUUUUAAUUUUACUUUAUUUACUUGGAACGUCUAACUUCGUGACGGCCGACGCGGUACUACGGAGGAUCCGAGCGUUAUCCGGAUUUAUUGGGUUUAAAGGGAGCGUAGUUGGGUUGUUAAGUCAGUUGUGAAAGUUUGCGGCUCAACCGGAGAAUUGCAAUAGAUACUGGUAGACUUGAGUGCAGGUGAGGGAGGCGGAAUUCGAGGUGUAGCGGUGGAAUGCGUAGAUAUCACGAAGAACCCCGAUUGCGAAGGCAGCUUACUAAACUGUGACUGACACUGAGGCUCGAAAGCGUGGGUAGCAAACAGGAUUAGAUACCCCAGUAGUC